RNAcentral lists this transfer RNA (73 nucleotides) under Diaphorina citri (Asian citrus psyllid). It matches the Rfam family "tRNA". From Rfam's summary of the family: Transfer RNA (tRNA) molecules are approximately 80 nucleotides in length. Their secondary structure includes four short double-helical elements and three loops (D, anti-codon, and T loops). The record is from Rfam by way of RNAcentral. Lineage: Eukaryota; Metazoa; Arthropoda; Insecta; Hemiptera; Psyllidae.
GCCCAGUUAGCUUAGUUGGUAGUGCGUCUGCCUUGUAAGCGCUAGGCCGUGGGUUCGAUUCCCACCCGGGGCG